Molecule: ribosomal RNA, 253 nt
Filed under: uncultured bacterium
Lineage: Bacteria
Description: partial 16S ribosomal RNA
Rfam family: Bacterial small subunit ribosomal RNA
Source: RNAcentral
UACGUAGGGUGCGAGCGUUAAUCGGAAUUACUGGGCGUAAAGCGUGCGCAGGCGGUUCGUUAAGUCAGAUGUGAAAGCCCCGGGCUCAACCUGGGAACUGCAUUUGAAAUUGGCGGGCUUGAGUGUGGCAGAGGGGGGUGGAAUUCCGCGUGUAGCAGUGAAAUGCGUAGAUAUGCGGAGGAACACCGAUGGCGAAGGCAAUCCCCUGGGCCUGCACUGACGCUCAUGCACGAAAGCGUGGGGAGCAAACAGG